UACGUAGGGGCCGAGCGUUGUCCGGAGUUACUGGGCGUAAAGCGUGCGCAGGCGGCGCGUUCUGCCCGGCGUGAAAGCCCCCGGCUCAACCGGGAAGGGUCGUCGUGAACGGGUGAGCUUGAGGGUAUCAGGGGCUGGUGGAAUUCCCGGUGUAGUGGUGAAAUGCGUAGAGAUCGGGAGGAACACCUGUGGCGAAGGCGGCCAGCUGGGAUACACCUGACGCUGAGAUGCGAAGGCGUGGGGAGCGAACGGGAUUAGAUACCCGGGUAGUCCCUGAGCGGGCU
RNAcentral lists this ribosomal RNA (284 nucleotides) under uncultured prokaryote. Its description in RNAcentral is "partial 16S ribosomal RNA". It matches the Rfam family "Bacterial small subunit ribosomal RNA", at positions 524 to 817 of the family's 1533-position model. The record is from RNAcentral.